AUUGAACGCUGGCGGCAGGCUUAACACAUGCAAGUCGAGCGGGGUGAUGGUGCUUGCACUAUCACUUAGCGGCGGACGGGUGAGUAAUGCUUAGGAAUCUGCCUAUUAGUGGGGGACAACAUCUCGAAAGGGAUGCUAAUACCGCAUACGUCCUACGAGAGAAAGCAGGGGAUCACUUGUGACCUUGCGCUAAUAGAUGAGCCUAAGUCGGAUUAGCUAGUUGGUGGGGUAAAGGCCUACCAAGGCGACGAUCUGUAGCGGGUCUGAGAGGAUGAUCCGCCACACUGGGACUGGGACACGGCCCAGACUCCUACGGGAGGCAGCAGUGGGGAAUAUUGGACAAUGGGGGGAACCCUGAUCCAGCCAUGCCGCGUGUGUGAAGAAGGCCUUAUGGUUGUAAAGCACUUUAAGCGAGGAGGAGGCUUACCUAGUUAAUACCUGGGAUAAGUGGACGUUACUCGCAGAAUAAGCACCGGCUAACUCUGUGCCAGCCGCCGCAGUAA
RNAcentral lists this ribosomal RNA (503 nucleotides) under uncultured bacterium. RNAcentral describes it as "partial 16S ribosomal RNA". It matches the Rfam family "Bacterial small subunit ribosomal RNA", at positions 30 to 523 of the family's 1533-position model. The record is from RNAcentral.